UUCCUACGGGGGGCAGCAGUCGGGAAUAUUGCGCAAUGGAGGAAACUCUGACGCAGUGACGCCGCGUAUAGGAAGAAGGUUUUCGGAUUGUAAACUAUUGUCGAUAGGGAAGAAAAAAGACUGUACCUAUCAAGAAAGCUCCGGCUAACUACGUGCCAGCAGCCGCGGUAAUACGUAGGGAGCAAGCGUUAUCCGGAUUUAUUGGGUUUAAAGGGUGCGCAGGCUGUCUGUUAAGUCA
Molecule: ribosomal RNA, 238 nt
Filed under: uncultured bacterium
Lineage: Bacteria
Description: partial 16S ribosomal RNA
Rfam family: Bacterial small subunit ribosomal RNA
Source: RNAcentral